UACGUAGGGUGCAAGCGUUAAUCGGAAUUACUGGGCGUAAAGCGUGCGCAGGCGGUCUUGCAAGACAGAUGUGAAAUCCCCGGGCUUAACCUGGGAACUGCAUUUGUGACUGCAAGGCUGGAGUACGGUAGAGGGGGAUGGAAUUCCGCGUGUAGCGGUGAAAUGCGUAGAUAUCUGGAGGAAUACCGGUGGCGAAGGCGGCAUCCUGGACCGGCAUUGACGCUGAUGAGCGAAAGCUAGGGGAGCAAACGGG
RNAcentral lists this ribosomal RNA (253 nucleotides) under uncultured bacterium. Its description in RNAcentral is "partial 16S ribosomal RNA". It matches the Rfam family "Bacterial small subunit ribosomal RNA", at positions 524 to 776 of the family's 1533-position model. The record is from RNAcentral.